RNAcentral lists this ribosomal RNA (506 nucleotides) under uncultured bacterium. Its description in RNAcentral is "partial 16S ribosomal RNA". It matches the Rfam family "Bacterial small subunit ribosomal RNA", at positions 29 to 523 of the family's 1533-position model. The record is from RNAcentral.
AGUGAACGCUGGCGGUAGGCCUAACACAUGCAAGUCGAACGGCAGCACAGGAGAGCUUGCUCUCUGGGUGGCGAGUGGCGGACGGGUGAGGAAUACAUCGGAAUCUACUUUUUCGUGGGGGAUAACGUAGGGAAACUUACGCUAAUACCGCAUACGACCUACGGGUGAAAGCAGGGGAUCUUCGGACCUUGCGCGAUUGAAUGAGCCGAUGUCGGAUUAGCUAGUUGGCGGGGUAAAGGCCCACCAAGGCGACGAUCCGUAGCUGGUCUGAGAGGAUGAUCAGCCACACUGGAACUGAGACACGGUCCAGACUCCUACGGGAGGCAGCAGUGGGGAACAUUGGACAAUGGGCGCAAGCCUGAUUCAGCCAUACCGCGUGGGUGAAGAAGGCCUUCGGGUUGUAAAGCCCUUUUGUUGGGAAAGAAAUCCAGCUGGCUAAUACCCGGUUGGGAUGACGGUACCCAAAGAAUAAGCACCGGCUAACUUCGUGCCAGCAGCCGCCGUAA